GACAGAGGUGCCGAGCGUUAGGCGGAAUCACUGGGCUUAAAGCGUGUGUAGGCGGGCCGUUAAGUACCUUGUGAAAUCCCCCGGCUCAACCGGGGAACGGCUGGGUAUACUGGCGGCCUUGAGAGGCCUAGGGGCGAGCGGAACAAGCGGUGGAGCGGUGAAAUGCGUAGAUAUUGGGAGGAACACCAGUGGCGAAGGCGGCUACCUGGACCGGUUCUGACGCUGAGGCGCGAAAGCGUGGGGAGCAAACAGG
Molecule: ribosomal RNA, 253 nt
Filed under: uncultured bacterium
Lineage: Bacteria
Description: partial 16S ribosomal RNA
Rfam family: Bacterial small subunit ribosomal RNA
Source: RNAcentral